RNAcentral lists this long non-coding RNA (7750 nucleotides) under Ananas comosus (pineapple). RNAcentral's name for it is "long non-coding RNA (ACOM_LNC001233)". Lineage: Eukaryota; Viridiplantae; Streptophyta; Magnoliopsida; Poales; Bromeliaceae. The record is from RNAcentral.
GAGAAAAUGGAAGUUGAAAACCAAGUAGAAGAAAAAGAAAAAGAAGAAGAAGAAAAAAAAGAAAAAGACAGCGAAGAUGAAAAAGAAUCUUCAGAUGUGAAAAUGUCUGAAAAGAUAGAAGGCGAAAAUACUGGAGGAAAAGAAUCGGAUGCUAUUAAUCUUCCUGACAAUAAGGAUGUCGAAAACUCAGGAAAAGCAGAUUUGCCUAUCAAAUCCGACACAGAUGAUACAGAGAAGAAAAAUACGGAUAAUAUUUCUAGUGAAAGUGCUUCUGACAGUGCUGUUGAUGCAUUAAAGUUAGCAUUUCAGGCUGUUGGUUUCUUUUCUGAAAACGGAGAGUUGGGUUCAUUUGCAGAAGCAGGAAACCCCGUGAUGGCCUUGGUAAGUAAAGUCAGUUUGACGAAGACCCUAUUUGUAUUUGGUCUCGCUGGAGUUCUACAAGUGCUGUUUGAGUAGAGCUAUAUGGAAAUGCACUAAACUGUUCAAUUCAUCAAAAUUUCUUUGAUAGCUUCCCUUUGUAGCACAAGUGGAAGCUUCAAACUGGAUUCUUGGUCUUGGGGUUCAGAAGGUCUUCUUCAGCUUUCCGACAUAGCAAUAGCUCCAAACUUUUUGUAUGGUGCGACACUUGGCUGUUGCUUGUUAGAGUAGAGAAGCUAUUCCAAACUCGAGCCAAAUGGGCUUGAGAUGCAGCUACCUUCGAAGUGGUUUUGCAUUGAUUGUAAACUUGCUUAGUUUUCUUUGCUUUGCAGGCAGCUUUUUUAGUAGCUCUAGUGGAACAUGAUAAUGCCAUUACUUCAUGUCGUAGUUCACUAAAAGCCAUUUCAGAGGAAUCUCCUGCUAUCCAACUAGCUACAAGACAUUGCUUUAUUCUUGAAGAUCCACCUGGUGAUAUGAAGAGGUUUAUAGUCUUUCUGCUUAUAAUUGCUGUCUCACUUGAUAACACCGUUGCAGUUUGUGCUGUUCUUUUUUCGUAAAAAAAUUUCUUCUUAUUAAUUCAAUUAAAUUUACAGCAAAAUUGCAAGCAAGGGUGCUGAGUGUCAAAAAGAUGAAGAUCAAACACUAAGUUUGAAUGGCACUGAUAAAUUGAAGGACAGCAAAGAACAGAGUGAGGAGAAUGCUCUUUCUCUUGAGAAGAAAAUGGAUCCAUCUGCGUUAACAAAGGGUGAACUGAAGCUGCCAGAUGAGAAGGUAUUGGGUAAUGAAGGCCCUUUGUCGGAGGCAGCAGUGAACAACAUUAGAAGUUCUGGUGAUCAGAAGGAUGCUACUGAUGCCAAUUUACCAGCAGUUCCUCCAACAAAUAAUACAAAAGAAUCGGUUGUUUUAGAUUCACGAGAAGCUGCUGAAAGUGUGGAGAAGAAGAUGAAUGACUUGAAGUCGGUAGGAGAGGAGAAACCACUUAAUGUAAAGGUGGGCGAUUUAGAUUCACAGGACAAGGGCGAGAUAGAUACAUUAAAGAGUAAAGAUACUGGAGCUGCGCCGGCUGCCAAUGGGGAACAAGAGUCCAAGCAAACAAGUGAACCAGGUUCUACAUUACAAAAGAGGGAGGAGGCUGGUAAGUGUCUUCAGCUUCCUAUCUCCAGCUUUGUAUGGCCAAUUAAUGGAAUUUCUAUUAUAGAUUUCUGUUUUCUCAGGCAAUCAUGUUGCAGUUCUAUAUUUGAAGUUACAUAAGUGAGUUAUUUUUUAUUGAUUGGCAAACAAGUGCUUAGUAAUAACCUUGAAGUUACGUAUAGCAAAAUUUAUACAUGCGUUUUUCAUUUAUGUAUUCAUGAUUAUGUCUCAUAGUUCAGAUAACAAAGGCAUAUAGUAUUGUAUCAUGUUUUUAUAAACUUUAAUCCAAUACUUGCUGACUUGUUUUGUAAAUCAUUUUCUACACUGUUAACCAUGUGAGAACUACGAAUGAACUGUUCGAAACUUUCAACCUAGUUUAUGCUUAGGAUUGGCUCAUGCAUCUUUCGUGAGAUGUGCUUGGUUCCUUUUCAUGACGUUGGCUUAAGGGAUUCAUUUAUAAGAUGUUAAGGUGAAAGCUCUGGCAUGAAGGCUGUUAGGAUCUUUCGAUCUCCUCAUGGAGGUCUCUUCUUUUCAAAGGGAAGGAGUGCCUUCUAUCCCUUCUUCAAGGGGGAGGGUUUCUAAAGAAAAAUAGUAGAACCAUACUAGUGGCUGUUCCUUAUGGCUUAAUAUUCUCCCAGCUCAAUACAAAAGAGAGAAAGAAUGUGCCUGUUUGUUGAUCACACUGCAUGACGAGUUCCUAUCCUAAUACAACUCCGCAUGGAACCACGUGGCAUAAUAAAAUUUAUAAAAGCUAUGGAUCAGUUAAGCAGAACUCUUGGGUUUGAAAAAUUUACGAUCAGGCAGCUGAUCUUGUCAACUUCCCUGUAGUCAGGCCGGUUUAAAGUGAGGUGGUUUGUGCCAAACCCCGUGUCUUGAAGCUCGCCUUGUCUCAAAGGUGUCUUCUGAUGGUAUUCCUUGUUAAGAUUCCAUGAUGAUUUCGUCCUCAAUUAAUUGUAUAAAUUAGAGGACUGGCAGUCGCUUUAGAGUGAUGUUAUCGUAGAGGUAAUGCAAUUCUAAUAUGGGUUUGAGAUUUAUGUGUUUUUGAUUACCAUUGGUCUCUUAAAAUGAAUCUGCUGUAGUGGAAGUGGUAAUUUCUCAAUCAAAGCGAAUCCUUAAACUUGAUCUGAUUCAGCAUCUCUUAUUCUUUUGAUUCAGAAUCAUCUUUUGUUUUGAACUCUGCUUUUUCACUACUACUUUGCAUUAUCAUUUCUGGUUGUGAUGUGGGGUUGACAAGUUUGUAUAGUAAAAGGCUUGCGGUGGUCUCUUUGGGAUUGCAUGAUAAAGUAGAGAAAAAUACUAAUUGUGUUGAAUAUGCACGAUCCGGACCUAAGUAUUUACCCAUCAAAAUUUGGAACAGUCCAAUUGAGCAGAUGCUUCUAGUGGUUGACUUGUCUGCCUAUUUCUCGAUUGAUUGAAAAUUUUCCUGCUUUUCACUUGUAUACCUUCGUAAAACUAAAUUUUCUAUAUAUAAUAUGAAAAGUGCAAGUUCCUAGAAAAACACCUUUAACUUUGGUUGGGCAGUCAUCCAUCCAGUUCACGAGAUGACGUUGGUCUUGAAUUGGAGAAUGAAAAUUCGAAAAAAGCAAUAUUUCUGUCAGUUCAAAGGGAUAUAUGUAAGAAACUAAGUUUUUGAUGGUACACAAGUAAGAAACUAAGUUUCUGAAGGGCAUAUAUGAAUAUUCAGAUCUCGCAACUGUAUAUAUGUACUUUUAUAUCUGUAUAUAUGUAAAUAGUUCUUUCCUUUAUGUGGAUAUUGUUUUAGCUUUACUGAAUUUAUUAUCAGUUAUAAUGUUUGUGGCAUGCAACUCUUAGGAUUCUGCUUCUUUUGCUGAAAACAGCUGGACCAUUCAUGUUACUGAGGAGUCGCCCAUAUUUGCUUUUUUUUUUUUUUUUUUUUUUUUUUUUUUUUUUCUUUCUUGGUUUCCUUUAUCUUGCAGGUGAGGGAGAUAAAAAAGAAGUCGCAUCCACUGAUGACAAGAGUGCCAACUUGGAUUCAAGCCAUGGUAAUUAUGCUCUAAUUAGGUUAAAACGUGCUGCAGCUACUGCUCUUUCGGCGGCUGCAGUGAAUUCUAAGCUUCUUGCAAAGCAGGAGGAGGAACAGAUCCAGCAACUUGUCUUAUCAAUUAUAGAAAAACAGGUAUUUUAGCAAUACGUUGAAUCGAUGAUGAAUCACUCUAAUUCAAGGAUAUCAUGGGAUUUUAAACAACUGAGAUAAAUGGGAGUCAGAUUUAUCUUACGAUAAAACUUCUCUGUUUAGGGAGAGGAGUUGGGGUAAAUUGCACCAUAGCUCCUUUUACAAUCAUUUCAGUUUGGUCCUCAGCCUUUUAUAAAAAGCAAUUGGGUCCUUGAACUUCUUAAUUUUUUGCAAUUGUACCAUUUUGGCUGAAUUCCUCCAUCAAAAUGGAUAGAAAUAUACAUGUAAUUGUCAUCUUAACAUAAGCGAUUUUUGAAUUUCUCAUAUCGCGAUUAUGUGGGCAUUUCCAUCCAGUCUAUGGAAUUUGAUGAACAGGGUAAGGGUGCAACGGAAUUUAUCUGAUUGCAGCAUAUGAAAGGUUGAGGACCAAACCGGUACCUCCUAAAAAGGUUGCAGCACAAUCCCCCUCGACCGUAGGCCAUUUUGAAAUCGACCUCUCAACCUUAUUUCUUUUUUUCCAUUUACACCUUUUCAACUGUUGCUUAUUUGGAUCUGUGUUUGAUCUGUUGAUUCGAUUAUUUGUUAAAUUCAACAGUUGUCAACUGUUAACUAUUAAUAGAACAAAUCAGCUACAAUUUCGUUGCUAAAAGACAGGCAAAUUUGUUACAUUUAGGGCAAUUGGUGUUAAUUUAACCCUAUACUCAAUUCAAUUACUGGAAAUAACUCAAAUUAAAGAGACAGUGCCAAUCGAAAAGUAGAAAAAAAGUUGAGAACUUCCCUUCAGAUAUAACCUAGGGAUCUCCUUACAUUUUAUCUUCUUUUUUUUUUGUGGCAAUUAGCUAAAGGCAUACUACUACUGUUAAUGGCUGUGUUAUAUGUGCAGUUUCAUAAAUUGGAGUCUAAAUUGGCACUCUUUGCGGAUCUUGAAAACAUAAUCCUGAGAAUAAGGGAACAAACAGAAAGAACUAAACAAAGACUUCUUCACGAACGCUCGCAAAUAAUUGCUGCUCGACUGGGUCUGCCUGCGCCAUCUUUUAGACCUAACCCAACUUCUGUACCGCCGGGCAGAUAUCCAGCAGGCUAUGGGAUGCCAAGCACAAAUUCAUUAAACGUGGUCGCUCAAAAACCGCCUGCUAUGAGAAGGCCAUGAAGUAUGUCUUUUUUCUAAGUACAUUGAAGCUCAGCACUUUGUAAAGUAUUGCUGAUGAUAUCAUAUUGCUCACAUAGUAAGUAGUUCUUAAUCGCUGAUUUGGUUGAUAACAUAUACGGAUAGCUAACUCUUGCUUUUUACUUGACUAACGCGUUAAAAAUUUUCAGGAGUCAGCAUCAUCAUUCUUAAGUGAAGGUUUUGUGCUGAUAUGCACUGUGCUGCCUAUGAACUAAAAUGUUCUUAUUGUUAGUUUGAAGGAUUCUUGUUUUUGCCCCUUGUACAUGACUCAGAAGCAAAUUCACCGAGCUAGAAUGUUGUUUUACAGUGGGUAAGCCAUUUCACCAUGUAAGCAUUGGUCCUUUUUAAUGAAAAUCCAUUUAGGCUCCAUGAGCUCUAUUUUAGUAAGAAUUGAUUGCAUAAACUCAAUUUAUAGGUCCCAUGAUAUCUCUACUUUUUUUCAAUUCUUUAAUGUCUUAGUUGUUGCUGUUAUACUGACAGUUUUUCUAUACUCAACUUCAGCUGCAAGCUCCAAAAGAUGCUUGCCUACUUCUAUUUUUAUUUAUUUUACUUUUGAGAGGGGAACCUUUUUUUUUUUUGGUUGGGGCCGCAUUUGUGGUGGGGGGGGGGGUGGUCAUAAUUAUAUAUAUUCAAUCCAAUCAUCUAUUUACAGUUUUAUAUUUACAUAUAUACCUUUUUAUGUGCUUACAAAAAUAUCUUUAGUGGGGAGUCCAAUUUAUGGACGGAAGUUGGAUUAAAUGAGCUUUUCUAACAAGGGUUGUUCUGAGGUGCAAGGGUGUCUCAGAAACUAUGUUUUUUGGUGGGCAUCUUUGUAAACCCAGAUCUAACAGGGUAUGCAUGUAAAUGGAUAAUUUUUCUGGGGCAUAUAUAGAAAUAUCACCUUUUCUUCUCUAGUUCAGUUGAGCAUUUGACUCCGUAGUGAAGUGAAUCAGUGAUUGCGAGGAUUAUUUUCUUCUUUAGCAAUAUCUUGUUUACUGUUUUAGUGUUUGCCUUCUCUUAUGAGAAACAGAGAAGGCCAAUCUUUCCUUGUUUAAGAGGAUUUAGAAUGCUUUAGUAGAUAAUUUUUAGCAGGUUGGCUUUUGCCAAUUUGUUAAAUCUAUCUUCAAACUUGAGGCUCUUCAGUUGGAAUGUUGUUGGAGUUUGAGUAGUGUAGAUAUCGUAGUUGUCAAUAUUUGAACGUUGAUACUUUAAAGUUUAAACUAUGCAAGAUGCAGGCCUAGUCAGUUGAAAAUCUUCUUUAUUGUGUUUGUAUUGUUUUUGUUUUUCUCCCCCCUACAGUUAUGGCUGGCAAACUCUGGUUCUUGAUCAUAGCUGAUCUUAAAUUUGUUUGUAAUGUGUCUAUUCAUCAGUUGAUAAGAUUCUCUUUGCAAUCAUUCAGAAAGGAUUUUUCAACUGUUUUUCAUUAGGUUGUUCAGAAAAUAAACAUGAACGUGACAAAGAAAGAUGCCUAAUCUAAUAAUCUUUCCUGUGCGACACCCAUUUUUGUUAUUUUAAAUAUGGUAUCCUUUGAAAUUCUUUUUGUUUGUUUAUUUUCAUUUUCCCUUUACCGUCUUGUUUUAAGUACGGAUAGUGAAAGAUCUAUUGUAUGAAGAUCCUUUGAGUAUAUCUGUUGACAUGUUUUUUGUGGUAGUAGUGUUUGGGAAAAGACCUCGAUUAGUAAUAAACUUUGCUUUGGUCUUCAUGAUAUUCAGCUGCAAUUGCUUUCAAUGGUAACGCAACUCAGAUCAUCAACAUCAGAUCAUCAACAUCCUUUUAUUAUUAAUGGUACUGCUAGCCAUGUUCUUUCUCCAUGGACUGUAGUUUUCAUUUUGGAUUUGUUGUAAUGGUGGUGAAAAGACAGUUUUGAGCUCCGGCUCGGCUCUACUUGGUUUUCUGAGCGGAAUUGCACUAACUUUUAACUGUCUAAUAUGCAUAUCAUUUUAGUUCCUUAGGUCUCUAAUAUUCUCUUAUAAGAAAUGUCUUUGUAUUUAUAUUCUUCACAGUAGCAUAAUGUGGUAAUGAUGUUUGCUGGAAUGCUCUGUUUCCACUUAAGAUCUGAUCAUAAGGGUUUUACGAAAAAUGAAAUAUGGAGAUUGUUGGAAGAUUUGUUAUGUUUUGUUUGCUUUUGAGUUUUUGGUUUUAGUUUGAUUUUGGGUAUGCCAGGGAAUGAUGGUAUAUGAAAAGGACUGAAAUUUUCUGCUAUUUUAUUUAUUUAUUUACUGAUUCAAUUGUCUGUUUAUUCACUGUUCGCUGAAGAUUUGUAGUUACAUUUGCUUGAGAAGUGACUACUUUCAGCUUGAGAAGCUUUUGGUUUUAAAUUGAUUUCGGGAUUCAAAUUUUAAAUUUAAAUUUUUAUAUUGGAUUAGAAUUUUAAGUUUAAAUACGAAUUUGGAAUUUAAAUAUACAUUCUGUACUUAAUUUUAAAUUUUAAUUUUGAUUUCGAUUGUACUUUUAAUUUUAAAUUCAGUUUAUAUUUAAAAUCAUUUUCUAAAUUUAAAUUUAGACUUUAAUUUGUUAUUACAAUAAUUAAUGGGACCACUAUAUUAAAUUUAUAUUUUUUAAUACACUUUUUACUGGUUUAUAAUAAUUUAAUAAAAUUCUUACCAAAAUAGCUUUGUAUAAUAAAUAGCAGUUUUGACAAAAAUAGCUAAAUGUUAUGCAUUGUUUUUUUUUUUUUUUUUUUUUUUNGGAAAAUGAGUCCUACCUCUACUUUUAGAUGUAAAAUUGAAGUUAACAUUUUUUGAAAGCUACCGACCGUCUCUAGAGUAAGUGGCAAAGGGUUUGGUGGUUGGUAUCCGAGAUCCAAGUUCGAAUCCUAGUUGAUUCACAUUUUCAGCUAAUUUUAUUUCUAAGUGAAAUAAACAAAGCGGGUAGCGUGCUAUCUAUCUCUCAAAAAAAAAAAAAAAUUUUUUUUUUGAAUU